Molecule: ribosomal RNA, 253 nt
Filed under: uncultured bacterium
Lineage: Bacteria
Description: partial 16S ribosomal RNA
Rfam family: Bacterial small subunit ribosomal RNA
Source: RNAcentral
UACGGAGGGUCCGAGCGUUGUCCGGAAUUAUUGGGCGUACAGGGCUCGUAGGCGGUCCGUCGCGUCGGGAGUGAAAACUCGGGGCUCAACUCCGGGCCUGCAGCCGAUACGGGCAGACUAGAGUUCGGCAGGGGAGACUGGAAUUCCUGGUGUAGCGGUGAAAUGCGCAGAUAUCAGGAGGAACACCGGUGGCGAAGGCGGGUCUCUGGGCCGAUACUGACGCUGAGGAGCGAAAGCGUGGGGAGCGAACAGG